GAGAGAGAGAGAGAGAGAGAGAGAUAGAACCGUACCAAGCACUCCAACGACAAUUUCUUUUGGUUAAAGUUUAGCUAGAAAUUUCCCUUCAACCAAUCCCAGCACGCCACAUAGGUCUGGGUAUAGGCUCGUCCUUAUUUCUUUGUAGACGUCGCCGUUCCAUUUCCUUGAUGCCAACUCCUCCCCCAGGCGCGUCGCAGCCUCAGCCAAGCUUCCUUCACUGUCGUACGCCGCAUCUACGAUUCCCAUCCUCACCGCUUGCUCCCCUUUCAUCUUGGCACCUCCCAGGAGGACAUCCCGCCGAGCAGAAAUCGCGUGGAGUUUAGCUCGAAAAACAGCCGCGAAAUAAUCCGGCAACCGAAGCCCUAAGUCAACCUCACUCAUAUACAACACGCCUUUAUCACUCCUCAUGAGGAUGUAGUCGUGGCUUAAAGCCAAUAAGAAUCCAGCGGCCGCGGCAUGGCCCUGGAUGGCUGCCACCGUGGGCAUAGGGAGGGAUAUCAACUCAGCGACGACCGGCUUGAAGGAGACGACCAUGUGGUGGAGGCGUUCCAUGGCUUUAGAACUGGAUCCAGCGGCUUUGGCCCAGGCAAGAUCGAAGCCAUUGGAGAAGAACUUGCCUUGGGAUGUGGUGAUAAGAACUGAGCCGCGAGUGGCCUUGGAUUUGACUUCGCAGAGAGCCGAUAGCACCGAAUCUAUGAGAGUAGGGCUCAGCCUAUGCUCCCCGUCACCGAUGAAUGUCAAAAUGAAUAAACUGCCUCGCUUCUCUAACGUGCACAUUGUCGGCGAUGGGGUGAAGGUUAAGAUAAGAAGCCAACGUCCUUUUGGUGCGCGUGUGAAAGUGUGAAGUACAACUUAAAUAGGAAAAUUCGUUGCUUUGUCCAAAAUGUGAAAGAGUACUCAGUCGGGCCCCUCCAUGUUGCAUAAAACUCAUUCUUAAUAAUUUUGUUUUAAAGACACUCGCACGCUGAUAAAAACAGGAAUUCACCGCUGAUAAAAUUAUGAUAAUUGUAAUCAGGUCUUUAUUACGCGUGUUUAGAUUAUAUUCUUAAUAAUUUGAGAUAUAAUAAAAA
Molecule: unclassified non-coding RNA, 1073 nt
Filed under: Hevea brasiliensis (rubber tree)
Lineage: Eukaryota; Viridiplantae; Streptophyta; Magnoliopsida; Malpighiales; Euphorbiaceae
Source: RNAcentral